RNAcentral lists this ribosomal RNA (459 nucleotides) under uncultured bacterium. RNAcentral's name for it is "partial 16S ribosomal RNA". It matches the Rfam family "Bacterial small subunit ribosomal RNA", at positions 338 to 795 of the family's 1533-position model. The record is from RNAcentral.
CCUACGGGUGGCUGCAGUGAGGAAUAUUGGUCAAUGGACGCGAGUCUGAACCAGCCAAGUAGCGUGAAGGAUGACUGCCCUAUGGGUUGUACACUUCUUUUAUCUGGGAAUAAAUGUUCCACGUGUGGGAUUUUGUAUGUUACAUAUGAAUAAGGAUCGGCUAACUUCGGGCCAGCAGCCGCGGUAAUACGGAGGAUCCGAGAGUUAUUCGGAUUUAUUGGGUUUAAAGGGAGCAGAGGUGGAUUGUUAAGUCAGUUGUGAAAGUUGGCGGCUCAACCGUAAAAGUGCAGUUGAAACUGGCAUUCUUGAGUACAGUAGAGGUGUGCGGAAUGCGUGGUGUAGCGGUGAAAUGCUUAGAUAUCACGAAGAACUCCGAUUGCGAAGGCAGCUCACUGGACUGCAACUGACACUGAGGCUCGAAAGUGUGGGUAUCAAACAGGAUUAGAUACCCUUGUAGUC